RNAcentral lists this ribosomal RNA (684 nucleotides) under uncultured bacterium. RNAcentral's name for it is "bacterial SSU rRNA". It matches the Rfam family "Bacterial small subunit ribosomal RNA", at positions 70 to 766 of the family's 1533-position model. The record is from RNAcentral.
UGAUUCUUCGGAUGAAGGUUUUUGUGACUGAGUGGCGGACGGGUGAGUAACGCGUGGGUAACCUGCCUCAUACAGGGGGAUAACAGUUAGAAAUGACUGCUAAUACCGCAUAAGACCACGGAGCCGCAUGGCUCAGUGGGAAAAACUCCGGUGGUAUGAGAUGGACCCGCGUCUGAUUAGGUAGUUGGUGGGGUAACGGCCUACCAAGCCAACGAUCAGUAGCCGACCUGAGAGGGUGACCGGCCACAUUGGGACUGAGACACGGCCCAAACUCCUACGGGAGGCAGCAGUGGGGAAUAUUGCACAAUGGGGGAAACCCUGAUGCAGCGACGCCGCGUGAGCGAAGAAGUAUUUCGGUAUGUAAAGCUCUAUCAGCAGGGAAGAAAAUGACGGUACCUGACUAAGAAGCACCGGCUAAAUACGUGCCAGCAGCCGCGGUAAUACGUAUGGUGCAAGCGUUAUCCGGAUUUACUGGGUGUAAAGGGAGCGUAGACGGCUGUGUAAGUCUGAAGUGAAAGCCCGGGGCUCAACCCCGGGACUGCUUUGGAAACUAUGCAGCUAGAGUGUCGGAGAGGUAAGUGGAAUUCCCAGUGUAGCGGUGAAAUGCGUAGAUAUUGGGAGGAACACCAGUGGCGAAGGCGGCUUACUGGACGAUGACUGACGUUGAGGCUCGAAAGCGUGGGG